AGCUCAGUGGUAGAGCUCCCGCUUCGCACGCGGGAAGACCUGGGUUCGAUUCCUAG
Toxocara canis (dog roundworm) is the source of this 56-nucleotide transfer RNA. It matches the Rfam family "tRNA", at positions 9 to 63 of the family's 71-position model. Rfam says of the family: Transfer RNA (tRNA) molecules are approximately 80 nucleotides in length. NCBI's taxonomy places the organism in Eukaryota, Metazoa, Nematoda, Chromadorea, Rhabditida, Toxocaridae. The record is from Rfam.